UUUCCGUAGGUGAACCUGCGGAAGGAUCAUUACAGAGUUCAUGCCCUCACGGGUAGAUCUCCCACCCUUGAAUAUUUAUACCUUAGUUGCUUUGGCAGGCCGUGGAAACACCAUGGGCUCCGGCUUAUGCGUGCCUGCCAGAGUGAACAAACUCUGUUUUUAGUGAUGUCUGAGUACUAUAUAAUAGUUAAAACUUUCAACAACGGAUCUCUUGGUUCUG
RNAcentral lists this unclassified non-coding RNA (220 nucleotides) under plant metagenome. RNAcentral's name for it is "partial contains small subunit ribosomal RNA, internal transcribed spacer 1, and 5.8S ribosomal RNA". The record is from RNAcentral.